UUUGUGUACAGGAUUUUGUGUUAACAUAAAUUUCCAUUUCUCUUGGGUAAAAACCUAGGGACAGCUAGGUCAUAUAUAGAGUAAGUGUGUGUUUAACUUUAUAAGAAACUGUCUGAUUUCUUUUCCAAAUGGUUGUACUAUUUUGUGUUCCCAAACAGUAAUGGAGCAAAUUUCUUUUGCUUUGCAUUCUCACCAGCAUUUGGUAUUUGAAGCAUAAUCUUAACACAUCACUAUCAAUCAACACAUCACUCACAAUCAACUAUAAAAUACAGAGAUAUGGACAAUAUAAUUACAACACAGCUAAGGCUGAAUUGAUAAAUAUUUCAUGUCAAAAUUUGCAGAUGAUAGUAAAACCAUCUUCAUUUCAACAAUCUGUGGAGUAUAUAAAAAUAGAUCAUAAUCUAGUUCAAAAAACUUAAAUACAUUUCCCACAUAGACUUGAAUACAGUGUAGAAACUUUACCACACUGUAAUAAAUAUUGAUAUUAAUAACGCACGUUUAAACAGCAAAAAAAAAAAAAAAAUCAUAUAGAAGUGACAAAACACUUUCCAAAAUAAUUACUGCUCUAAAUCAAAUAGGAAUUUUAAAAUUUAACUAAAGACUGUAAAAAAUAAAAAUAAGAGGCCCGUUCAACUACAGACUCGUAGGUUGAAAUGUUUCAUCAUUACACACACACACACACACACACCAAAAAACAUUUCCCUUAUUAAGAGGAAAAAAGAAUUCCCAAGGAAAACAUAUGAAGGAAAUGAAAAUAACCAGAAAUUGUGACUGUUUACUGUUCCUUUUCCCAGUCAACGAAGCUCUUAGAGCACAGGGUCAUAUUCCCAUGUCUACGGGUGAAUAGUGUGCCUGGCUCACAGUAUGAGCUCAAUAUUUAGCAACUUUUAACUUUCCUAAAGGUAGGCCUUUUCUCCUUUGGGCUUCCACAGUAGGCUGCUAUCUUAGAGUUUAUUAAAGUAUUGGAACCACAUACGUUUUCCACAUCAAAAAAGUCCCCUAAAAACAAAUAUUUGUUUACCACUCAGAAUGUGCCCGGCGAUUGGCAUUAAUCCCCUUAAUCAUUACAACUUUUUUUGGAUAUUCUUUUUCAGAAACUGAGGGUCAGAAAGGUUAAGUGACCAAGGUCAUAGAGGAACUCAUCACACUAUCCAGAUUUGGUUGCAACCAUUCUCCUUUCCCCCACACAAGCUCUUUCUACCGGAAAAGGUUACAGUGAAUUCAGGGGCAAGGUUCGUUUGCCACCUUUGUAGCCACAGCUCCGAACCUAGUUACUGGCACAGAGUAUCCCAGACAAUUAGGCAUUACUUGCGUCCUGUUGUUCGUCAAGUUUUCUUUUGUGGGCCAUUGAGAGACGCGCUAAUUACCAGCCCGCCACCGAGGCCUGGAAAGAAAUCGGGAAUAAUUUAGGACUCUCCUAGCCUCCCAGCUCCAUGGUUGGCUUGUAACCACUCUAUAUUCUGGAGGACUCAGCGAGCACGGCCAAUCAUUAGGCCACUUUCCAGGCACGUGGCCAGAAGUUUGACUUGCUAUUGGUUACUAACAGCAGGGCCCGCCCAAGCACCCUGCCUGCUUCUUUAAGUAGAAGCCGUGGGCGCGUCUCCGUCUUUCGGCGGCUGUAAGCUUGCGAGGUCCGGCCGGCCGAGAACGUCGGAUCCAUUGCCCUCCCAGCGCUUCGACCCUUCCCUGGAGGCUCUCAAUAAAACAGAUUGUUCCUAC
Long non-coding RNA from Myotis daubentonii (Daubenton's bat), 1719 nucleotides. RefSeq lists it as uncharacterized. The record is from RefSeq and is a predicted model, not a curated record. Lineage: Eukaryota; Metazoa; Chordata; Mammalia; Chiroptera; Vespertilionidae.